RNAcentral lists this long non-coding RNA (2487 nucleotides) under Homo sapiens (human). RNAcentral describes it as "HSALNT0303820". Lineage: Eukaryota; Metazoa; Chordata; Mammalia; Primates; Hominidae. The record is from RNAcentral.
AUUCUGCAGCCACCCAUAUGUCACCACCUACCUGCUUUAUCUCUUUGUCACAUUUUCAUCUCUUUCUACUUCAACUUUCCUUUGAUUCAUCCCCAAAAGCUUUCCCCUAGGCCACUUGGCAGUAUUCCCUCACUAGUCAAAAUCUGGUGGGUCUUUCUUGAGUGAGCUCUCAGAGCUGACCUCCUUUUUUAAGACAUCUAUUUGCAUGCAGGUGGCCAUCGAUGACAUCAAUGGUUUUGCAGUAUUGAGCCACAUUUUGGAUUUUACCUAGAAGAUGUGCAGAAUAUAAAUGUUUUCAUGAGAACAAAAUAUACAGCUGGAUGUUUGUCACAAUUCUAAUGUCCCUGCAAAGAUGAGAUGCAUGAAUCACACAGCAAUCUCAUCAAAAAGGAAUUUCUGGAAGGUAAGAAUAAAACACAAUGGACACUAAAACUUUUCUGCCCACGAAAGUAAGAGGCAUUUGAGAAUUGUUCACUUUAUCUUAUGAGGCAUAGGAGAAGAGAAUCCUGGAAAAAGCAAGAAGCAGGAAGAUAAGAGGCAAAGAAGAAGAGAGCCCCACCCACUGGGGCAAGCUGGGGCCCCAGAUGAUGAAACUGUGGCCCAGAAAGUUUAAGGGAUGUGUCAAAUGUCACACAGCUCACAGAUCCAGGGACAUGGCUUAAAUCCAGAUAUCUUGAUUCUAACUUCAGUUGAGGAAGAGAAAGAGUGCUGCCCCACGCUGCCUGAUUUACAACGUGAAGUGAAAUCUUUGAAAAGAAAAAUAAGACAAUGUCACUCAAGCUCUUAUCUGAGGAUUUCCUGGGUUUGAAGACAGAGCUCAAACUCAUACAAGGGGUCAUCUGAGUCUGCAGAUAGGCUUGCUUUAUGCUGCUCCGUCAGAUCUCUUCUAAAGAUUAGUGCGCAAUUCUGGACAUUACAUUUUAAUGGUAACAUGGAUUCAACUAAAGGCCGCAGCAACUUUGCUUUGUACACUCUGUCUCCUGCCAAGAGAGCCCAGGGAAGGUAAUGUCUCCUGGAUCGUAUGAAAUGUUUCUGUAACGGUCACUGUAACUCACACCUUGAUUUUUACCAGGUCGCUGGCAAGUGCGAUGGAUUGUAAUUGCUGCACAUUCAUGAGGGCUUCUCAAGGUUACCCGGGCACAGUGAAUACCAAAAGAAGAAUAAGACGGAGAGCUAUUCCUCAGUGAAGCAGAGUUUACAACCCUUGUUCAUUUUGGCCAAAGGCCAGCUGACUCUAGUUUACCUAACUUUUAGAGAGUUUCAGAAAAAAAAAUGGAAGUAAUAUCCUGCCUUUGAGUAUGGAGACAAAAUUCUAAUAUCAUAAGAGAGUUAUCAGAGGUUAAGGCAGUUAGAAGGGUUCAUUCAUUCAACAUUCAACACAAACUGUGAACACCUAACAUUUGCCAUGUACAAAGAAGGACGUUCUGCCUUGGACUAACAUCCAUUCCUGUGAGGGAAGAGAAGCAGCAGGCCUGGAUGAUGCUGCCGCUUGAAGAAGAAAAUCUUUCUCCUGCCAGAGUCCUGCUUAACCUUAGCUGGGGGAGGUGAUCUUUAACACUAACUAUUAAAGUUUGAGCCCAGAGACUGGUGCUAAUUCACCCUGACCAACCUCUCACACAGCCACAGAAUUCUCCCCUGCACACCAGGGCACCACCACUGGGAGCUGUUGGCAAUAAGGGAGUGGAGAAGGUAGAAUGUGAGAGGCCCUCAGUCAUCCACUCCUCUAGUCAGUAGCCUUCCACUCAUAAAUGGAUAAAAACAAGAGCCAUUUUUAGAUUCAGCAUUUCCUGGGGAGAACAAUUCCAGCCCCAAACUUCAGAUGUCAGCAGAGAACAGUGUGGGCUCUUUAUGUUCCUCAAGAACAUGCACACUGAGCUUCCCCCGCAGCCCCCGAGCACUGCCAGCUGCUGCUGCUGCGAUCCCAGUGUCUGAGUUUGUGACUCGCCGGGAGAUUGUCUGUUCCUGCUGCUUCCAAUAUCGUCUUGGCCUUUAUGAAGGCACAUGCACACGACUGUAGCGGCACCCCUGUCUCCGGCCCAUUGUGGACAUGACUGCUCUUCCAGUGUGGCUCCCCUGUGACAGGCACCUGCUCAGCAACCUACAGAAGCUCCCCCAGAUAAGAAAAUUGAGACUCAGAGCAUUUAAGCAGCCAGCCUGGAGUCACAGAGAUUUAAGUCUCAGAGCCAGCACUCAGGAUGAGUGCCAAUGGAAGCCUGUCCUUGGAGUCCAGAAUGAACGUCAGAAGCAACCCAGCCACAGCAGGAGACUGUCCAUGAAUGUCAUCUGGCUGAACCUAAAGGCAAGACCUUUUUAACUUAUCUCAUUCAAGCUUAUUCUUCGUACUCUUUCACUAAUUCCAAUUAAGAAUAUUUCAUGCUCAUGAUAGGAUUUGCCAUUUUUCCCACUUGCCAAGUCCCUGAUUAUUCAUCAUCAUCACCAGCAACAACAGCAGCAGCAGCAGCAGCAGAAAUAGAGAAUUACUUGUUC